AAUGGAAAUACGGUCGAUGAUCUGUUUUGUUAUAAAGAUUCCGCCAGUGUGCGAAAUAUUAGGUAUUGUGUAGAUUUUGAAAGUCUCAAUUCAAAGAGCAACUUUUUUAUGACGUCAAUAUAGGACAAGCCGAUAGCCAUGACACUGUCCCAUAUGAACAAUCCUACUGACUGAUCCAGACGAUUACAAUACUCAAUACUCGCCCUGACGCUACAGGGCCGGCUUAUAUAAGUGCUCGCUUACCCGAGAAAGGGAGAAAUGUGUACAGGCAGAAGGCCGCCGUCGCCGUCAGUCGCCGCACACUGGCUUUGGCUUAUAGAAGUAGCACCGAGCACAGAGCACCGAGUUUUGUGAAACACACCAGAGUGGGCACC
Long non-coding RNA from Aedes aegypti (yellow fever mosquito), 374 nucleotides. RefSeq lists it as uncharacterized. The record is from RefSeq and is a predicted model, not a curated record. The transcript is spliced from 2 exons. Lineage: Eukaryota; Metazoa; Arthropoda; Insecta; Diptera; Culicidae.